Molecule: long non-coding RNA, 1446 nt
Organism: Bombus impatiens (common eastern bumble bee)
Lineage: Eukaryota; Metazoa; Arthropoda; Insecta; Hymenoptera; Apidae
Exons: 2
Source: RefSeq, a predicted model, not a curated record
UCGGUUGCCUUGCAGGUUCAUUAGUUCGAGAUUCUCGACGAGUUCAGCCAUCGACUUGGAUGUUCGCGACGAAGAAACGACAGAAUCUGAUCACCAGAAAGUUCCAGUUGAAAAUGUAAAUAGCGCAUUGUCGAGAGUUCCCCUCGCGACGAAGCUAUUGUCCACGCUAGAAGGAAGUAACGUGGUAGUCGAACCUGUGGAAAAGUUUAAUCGUUCUACCAUGACGUGACGUCAGAGAUAAGGAAAACUGAAAAUGGUAGUCUCCGCAAACGCUCGCUGUUUGUUUCGUGCAUACAGAAUACGACAAUUCAGUUGGAUAUGUAUACAUGUAUAGGUAUGUCGCUUUGUGUAUCGUCGAAUAUUCAACUCUCAUGAUAUUGCUUUUGCGUUUGACCUUUCUGUUUGAGAACGCUUUCUUCCCGUCUGUUGGCUCCGUGUUUAUUGAAAAGUCAUGUUAUGAGAAGUAUCCUAGUAUGAGGCAAAAGGACAGUAAAAGGUAUGUUUAAGUGUGUACGACUGUGUGUUUGAAGCUAGCCUUUGCAACAUAUUAUUGUUUGCAAAUGUAAAUCUCUAUGGGGGAUUUGGUUUAAAUAUGUGGAAGCGAAUGAAAAAUGGAAAAUAGAAAAAAAUGUGUAGAAACAGCGAUUGUAUUAAUAGGAAAAUACUUUAUUGGAUAUCAGAGGAUAAUGGAUAAGGAGAGCUUAAGAAAUAAUAAACAAAUUUUGUCUGUAUAUUUUUUCAGUUUACUUCAAUUUUUAUUUUAUUUGUAAGGAAUUAGAAAGGAUAGGAGAUAAGUGGAUGAAAAUACGAACUUCAGGUGCAAUAAAGAAGAAUUUAAGACAGAAGAUAAGGAAGAAGUAACAGCGGAAACUUGAUCGAAACAGAGUUACAAACAACAUGUAUAAAGCUUCCGUGACGCUUUCGUGAGAAAACGUAAAGAGAGGGAAAGGAAGGAGAAGAGAAAGGAGGGGAGGGAUGGAAAAGGGUGAUUCCAAGGGAAAGGCCGUGCUCAGUCCGAGAGAACUAAUUUCAUAGUUUUAAGGGCCACUGGAAUUGAGCCGGUUCGGGUCAUCGCUAAUUGGGUGCUGUACUGGCUAGAUUGCGGUCACCUUGUUAGAAACCUCGACGACUUCGCUGUGAAAAUAUAUCUUCCUAGCGGAGAACGAAUCUUCUCUCGUUUCAGCACGUGUAUCGCAUUUCUGGCGUGUGUAUAUUUGAGAAGAGACGUUUGAGUACCACGACGUUUGAUAAACCAACUCGCUAUCAGGCAAUGCUUGACUAGACCAAAGUUGAUGUUCCAACGUGAACACAUUGUUCCGUUUCGAUUCACGAGAAGGCACAAUAGUACACUGACUACAUUUAUAGUUAUAUUCCUUUCUUUCUGUAGCUAAGAUAGCUACGUAAUUUGUAAUAAAAUGUAAAUAAAUGAAAACUGUAAUAAAAGUA